Long non-coding RNA from Micropterus salmoides (largemouth bass), 918 nucleotides. RefSeq lists it as uncharacterized. The transcript is spliced from 2 exons. The record is from RefSeq and is a predicted model, not a curated record. NCBI's taxonomy places the organism in Eukaryota, Metazoa, Chordata, Actinopteri, Centrarchiformes, Centrarchidae.
CUUUUGACUAAAGAAGAAAUCUAAUAGAGUAAUUUUAUUGAGUUUAUUACGUUGGUUAGGGUAGGGACCAGGUCUUUUACUGGCCCGGCCGGUCCUUAUUUCCGACCCGACAAUUGGCGAGGCCAGCCAGGAGAUUGAGUCCAGAGGCCGAGAGUUUCUGACCGGGACGGACAGCCUGUAUCUGAGACACGUGGCCACAUAGAAAAGGCAUGAAGGCCGUCCAAAUUCCAAAGUUUCCAGAGAGUAAGUGUUUGCUCGCAGUGAGUGUGCGAUGGCUGUCCUGGGAGGCACACAGCAGGUGAAAUUAAAUGGUAAAGAGCAGAAAAAAGAAAUAUUAGCUGCAAAGGUGGUCAAAGGAGGGAGCUGUGGCAACAACAUAUGUGGUAACAGCAAAACUAAGUAGUUAAAGAUAAAAUAAAAGACGUCAGAUAAGAGAUAGAGAAAGCUUAGAAUGAAGGGAAAAUAUGGAGAAACAGUUUGACCAACAGUUAGAUAAUAUUGACAUACUAUAUAGCCUUUAGUGAAGGAAAAGUAGUCACAGAGACAGAAUAAUGAAAGACCCCAUCCUGUUAGAUAAGGUCUAAAUAGAUAUACCCCCAGAUGAAGAAACGUAUAGAGCAAGUGGAAGAAAGAUAUAAGUAAGUGCAGUCAAGGGCCAGUACAGGCAGAAGAAGAAGAAAAGAAUUAGGGUCUUUAAAGGGUUGAGUUCAGAUAUAAAGGAGAGAUGGAAAAAGAGAGGCUAUAUUAGAUAGGGAGGAGACGAGAGCUAGAUAUGAAUAGAAAGAAUAACAACUCCCAAACAAAGUGAAAAGUUCGUCAUAGCACAGAUCUCAGAAAGACAAAAGAUCUGCCUACAGACCAAGAUACCUGCAGAGCACAACAAACCAUGAGACAUGACGACAGCGAGACAGAGCUACA